RNAcentral lists this ribosomal RNA (379 nucleotides) under Aspilota vaga. Its description in RNAcentral is "partial 16S ribosomal RNA". The record is from RNAcentral. Lineage: Eukaryota; Metazoa; Arthropoda; Insecta; Hymenoptera; Braconidae.
GGCUGCAGAAUUUUAACUGUACAAAGGUAGCAUAAUAAUUUGUUUUUUAAUUAAAAACUAGUAUAAAAGAUUUAAUAAAAUAUAAACUAUUUUAAUUAAAUAAAUAUUUAAAUUUUUAUUUAAGUAAAAAAACUUAAAUAUAAUUAAAAGACGACAAGACCCUAUAGAAUUUUAUUUUUUAUUUUAAUUAAAUAAUUAAUUUUUUAUAUAAUUAACUAAUAAAAAUUUAAUUGGGGUAAUUAAAAAAUUAAAAAAAUUUUUUUAUUAUAAAACAUAAAUUAAUGAAUUAAAAAUCUUUAUAUAAAAAUUAAUAAAAUUAAUUACCUUAGGGAUAACAGCAUAAUUUUUUUUAAAAGUUCUUAUUAAUAAAAAAGAUUAU